ACUCUAAAUCUAUGUGUUCUAAUAUAGAACACUGGACGCGUCCAUACGUUCUGCCACAGAAUACGAAUGUUCUAAUUCGUGCAGCACGUGUUCUAUUGCUGAACGCCUGUGAUCUGUUGUAGAACGCGUGUGUUCUCUCCUGGGAGAAGUCCAUGCACAUUAGCAGAGAUAAUGUGCUGAAUGCUGUUAGACAAAUUUAAAUUCGACCAUCAUAUUUGUGUUUUCGGAAUAUUUAUUUUUGAGAAGAAGAGAGGCUGGUAGAUUGGUAUGUCAAACAGAAAAUGUGUAUAAGAAGGGUUAUAUUUUGAGUUUGAUGAAUAAUAAAUAGUUUAUAAACAUGGCAUACUUUGGGUUAAUAAUAACUUAUAUGUAGCCUGAAUAAAUACAACAAGAAACAUUACUGAAAUACAACUCAUUGCUAAUACAUGGAAAUAACUUGCUUGCAUUGGGGACAUUUACUUGUAUCAGAACACUGGCAUUCUGAUGGCUAAUUUUAGCUGGAUCUUUAAUGGGUGCUCUGGAACUUAUACGGUCUAUUUGCUGAACGCCUGCGUUCUCUCCUAGAACGCGUGUGUUCUGCUGUGUUCUAUAAUGUUAUAUGCGAGAACACGUGUUCCAUUAAUAGAACAUCGGUGUUCUGUUUUUCUAACAAGCAUUCAAAGCUGUCCAUGCUCUGUGAUUCACAUCCGUUAUGUGAGAAACUGGCGUGACGUCGCAUGUAUUUGGCGCUACAAUUUCCUAUGAUCUGAGGUGUGUCUGUGGUUCUAUAUGAAUCGCCUGAAAGUGCGAAGCGGGCUACAUGCAACAAAUCUCUGAACAUCUAAAUUUGGGAUCCGAGGGCAUGAUCAGCAAGCAUCGACAAUGCAUCGAAAUCAGCAGAGAGUAGUGGUGCAUUGCAGAUAAUCAGUACCAUCCAUGGAAAUUAUUGCACAGGGCAGACGUCUACACAAAGGAGGAAAAGACACAAGGUUUUGCAGAUCAAAUAAGAAGGAUGUUGGGGAGUCAUAUUUCACAUGAAGUUUCCUGAAGCCUGCGAUGGUCAUGUCGCUGUUACGAACAUCGUCCUUUGGGGAUAUUUACCCACAAGAAACAUCUGCGAAGUACAUGCGCUUGAAACUUAAGUUAUCUUAAGUAUGGAAGUAUGCUUCAAUUUGCUACACGACAGUUUGUAAUCUUUCAUGAAGAACUCUGACUCAUAAGUGACUUGAAUAUCCAUGAUCAUCCCAAACAAAUGUAAUAAAGAAUUCAUGGUUGCAGUUCAGAAUUUCGUCCGUGUGAUUUUAUGCCAGAUAAUAUGCAUGGGUGUAUGGUUUAAAUUCGUACACCUUGAAAAACAUCGGGUAAAUUGUAUUCGACACACACGAUGAGUUGUCGUUUCAGUAAUGUGGAAGUACGUGUCCGAGAACGUGUAGUGUUCUGAAUCUCGGUCCAGAACACUUUACAGGCGUUCUAAAAGCGUUACAUCGUCAGAACACGUUGAAGCGUUCUAAAUAUG
RNAcentral lists this long non-coding RNA (1495 nucleotides) under Haliotis rufescens (red abalone). RNAcentral's name for it is "uncharacterized LOC124142963, transcript variant X2". Lineage: Eukaryota; Metazoa; Mollusca; Gastropoda; Lepetellida; Haliotidae. The record is from RNAcentral.